GACGAACGUUGGCGGCGUGCCUAAUACAUGCAAGUAGAACGCUGAAGGAGGAGCUUGCUUCUCUGGAUGAGUUGCGAACGGGUGAGUAACGCGUAGGUAACCUGCCUGGUAGCGGGGGAUAACUAUUGGAAACGAUAGCUAAUACCGCAUAAUAGUAGAUGUUGCAUGACAUUUGCUUAAAAGGUGCAAUUGCAUCACUACCAGAUGGACCUGCGUUGUAUUAGCUAGUUGGUGGGGUAACGGCUCACCAAGGCGACGAUACAUAGCCGACCUGAGAGGGUGAUCGGCCACACUGGGACUGAGACACGGCCCAGACUCCUACGGGAGGCAGCAGUAGGGAAUCUUCGGCAAUGGACGGAAGUCUGACCGAGCAACGCCGCGUGAGUGAAGAAGGUUUUCGGAUCGUAAAGCUCUGUUGUAAGAGAAGAACGAGUGUGAGAGUGGAAAGUUCACACUGUGACGGUAUCUUACCAGAAAGGGACGGCUAACUACGUG
RNAcentral lists this ribosomal RNA (495 nucleotides) under uncultured bacterium. RNAcentral describes it as "partial 16S ribosomal RNA". It matches the Rfam family "Bacterial small subunit ribosomal RNA", at positions 28 to 507 of the family's 1533-position model. The record is from RNAcentral.